GCGACCCCACACGGGCGCCCGAGGCAUCGGGCUGAGAUCGCGCUACGCCUGCGCGAGCACCGUUCGAACCUGUCUGGUUAGCACCAGCGAAGGAAGUAAGGAGAAGGUCGUG
Molecule: non-coding RNA, 112 nt
Filed under: Corynebacterium sp.
Lineage: Bacteria; Bacillati; Actinomycetota; Actinomycetes; Mycobacteriales; Corynebacteriaceae
Description: TPP sequence
Rfam family: TPP riboswitch aptamer (THI element)
About the family: Vitamin B(1) in its active form thiamin pyrophosphate (TPP) is an essential coenzyme that is synthesised by coupling of pyrimidine and thiazole moieties in bacteria. The previously detected thiamin-regulatory element, thi box was extended, resulting in a new, highly conserved RNA secondary structure, the THI element, which is widely distributed in eubacteria and also occurs in some archaea. Analysis of operon structures identified a large number of new candidate thiamin-regulated genes, mostly transporters, in various prokaryotic organisms.
Source: RNAcentral